Molecule: transfer RNA, 72 nt
Filed under: Brevundimonas diminuta
Lineage: Bacteria; Pseudomonadati; Pseudomonadota; Alphaproteobacteria; Caulobacterales; Caulobacteraceae
Description: tRNA-OTHER
Rfam family: tRNA
About the family: Transfer RNA (tRNA) molecules are approximately 80 nucleotides in length. Their secondary structure includes four short double-helical elements and three loops (D, anti-codon, and T loops).
Source: RNAcentral
GCGGAUGUGGCGGAACUGGUAGACGCACCAGAUUUAGGNNGCGUGGAGGUUCGAGUCCUCUCAUCCGCACCA